AACUGCGAGUGAAGCGGGAAAAGCUCAAAUUUAAAAUCUAAUGGYCUUUUUGGCCAUUCGAGUUGUAAUUUAGAGAAGCGUCUUCCGCGCCAGACCAUGUACAAGUCUCCUGGAACGGAGCGUCGUAGAGGGUGAGAAUCCCGUCUUUGACAUGGACACUCGGUGCUUCUGUGAUGCGCUCUCAAAGAGUCGAGUUGUUUGGGAAUGCAGCUCAAAAUGGGUGGUGAACUCCAUCUAAGGCUAAAUAUUGGCGAGAGACCGAUAGCGAACAAGUACCGUGAGGGAAAGAUGAAAAGCACUUUGGAAAGAGAGUGAAACAGUACGUGAAAUUGUUGAAAGGGAAACACUUGAAGUCAGUCGCGUCGAUCAAGACUCAGCCUUGCCUCGUGCUUGGYGUACUUCUUGACUUGACGGGCCAGCAUCAAUUUCGUCCCUCGGAUAAUGGCGGGUGAAAUGUGGCACCUUUGCGGGUGUGUUAUAGUCUCUUGUCGCAUGCGAGGGGUGGGAUUGAGGAACUCAGCACGCGUCUCACGGCGUCGGGGCUUCGGCCC
Molecule: ribosomal RNA, 551 nt
Filed under: Lactifluus rugiformis
Lineage: Eukaryota; Fungi; Basidiomycota; Agaricomycetes; Russulales; Russulaceae
Description: Lactifluus sp. 22 HL-2019 partial large subunit ribosomal RNA
Source: RNAcentral